This is a non-coding RNA of Ailuropoda melanoleuca (giant panda), 73 nucleotides long. The record is from Rfam. NCBI's taxonomy places the organism in Eukaryota, Metazoa, Chordata, Mammalia, Carnivora, Ursidae.
GCCUGGCUGGCUCAGUCAGAAGAGCGUCUGACUCUCGAUCUCAGGGUUGUGGGUUCGAGCCCCAUGCUGCGUG